RNAcentral lists this transfer RNA (56 nucleotides) under Strongyloides fuelleborni fuelleborni. Its description in RNAcentral is "tRNA-Ser". Lineage: Eukaryota; Metazoa; Nematoda; Chromadorea; Rhabditida; Strongyloididae. The record is from RNAcentral.
GAUGGAUAUAUAGACAGGUCUUCUAAACUUGUUCAGAGCUAAUAACUCAUCCAUUU